GCAUUCGUAGCUCAACUGGAUAGAGCAGCGGUCUUCGAAACCGCAGGCUGGAGGUUCGAAUCCUCCCGGGUGCG
This 74-nucleotide transfer RNA is filed under the name Pseudomonadales bacterium. RNAcentral describes it as "tRNA-Arg". It matches the Rfam family "tRNA". Rfam says of the family: Transfer RNA (tRNA) molecules are approximately 80 nucleotides in length. Their secondary structure includes four short double-helical elements and three loops (D, anti-codon, and T loops). Further hydrogen bonds mediate the characteristic L-shaped molecular structure. tRNAs have two regions of fundamental functional importance: the anti-codon, which is responsible for specific mRNA codon recognition, and the 3' end, to which the tRNAs corresponding amino acid is attached (by aminoacyl-tRNA synthetases). tRNAs cope with the degeneracy of the genetic code in two manners: having more than one tRNA (with a specific anti-codon) for a particular amino acid; and 'wobble' base-pairing, i.e. permitting non-standard base-pairing at the 3rd anti-codon position. The record is from RNAcentral. Lineage: Bacteria; Pseudomonadati; Pseudomonadota; Gammaproteobacteria; Pseudomonadales.